GACGAACGCUGGCGGCGUGCCUAAUACAUGCAAGUCGAGCGAGUCUGCCUUGAAGAUCGGAGUGCUUGCACUCUGUGAAACAAGAUACAGGCUAGCGGCGGACGGGUGAGUAACACGUGGGUAACCUGCCCAAGAGAUCGGGAUAACACCUGGAAACAGAUGCUAAUACCGGAUAACAACAGAUGAUGCCUAUCAACUGUUUAAAAGAUGGUUCUGCUAUCACUCUUGGAUGGACCUGCGGUGCACUAGCUAGUUGGUAGGGUAACGGCCUACCAAGGCGAUGAUGCAUAGCCGAGUUGAGAGACUGAUCGGCCACAUUGGGACUGAGACACGGCCCAAACUCCUACGGGAGGCAGCAGUAGGGAAUCUUCCACAAUGGACGCAAGUCUGAUGGAGCAACGCCGCGUGAGUGAAGAAGGGAUUCGGCUCGUAAAGCUCUGUUGUUGGUGAAGAAGGACAGGGGUAGUAACUGACCUUUGUUUGACGGUAAUCAAUUAGAAAGUCACGGCUAACUAAGUG
Molecule: ribosomal RNA, 519 nt
Filed under: uncultured bacterium
Lineage: Bacteria
Description: partial 16S ribosomal RNA
Rfam family: Bacterial small subunit ribosomal RNA
Source: RNAcentral